Molecule: ribosomal RNA, 497 nt
Filed under: uncultured bacterium
Lineage: Bacteria
Description: partial 16S ribosomal RNA
Rfam family: Bacterial small subunit ribosomal RNA
Source: RNAcentral
GAUGAACGCUGGCGGCGUGCCUAACACAUGCAAGUCGAGCGAACGGACGAGAAGCUUGUUUCUCUGAUGUUAGCGGCGGGCGGGUGAGUAACACGUGGAUAACCUACCUAUAAGACUGGGAUAACUUCGGGAAACCGGAGCUAAUACCGGAUAAUAUUUUGAACCGCAUGGUGCAAAAGUGAAAGACGGUCUUGCUGUUACUUAUAGAUGGAUCCGCGCUGCAUUAGCUAGUUGGUAAGGUAACGGCUUACCAAGGCAUGGGUGCAUAGCCGACCAAGGAGAGUGUUCGGACACGCUGGGACUGAGACACGGUCCAGACUCCGACGGGAAGACGCAGUAGGGAAUCUUCGGAGGUGGGAGAAAGCCAGACGGAGCAACGCCGCGUGGGUGAUGAGGGUCUUCGGAUCGGAAAGUUCUGUUAUUAGGGAAGAACAUAUGUGUAAGUAACUGUGCACGUCUUGACGGUACCUAGUCAGUAAGCCACGGCUAACUCCGUG